RNAcentral lists this long non-coding RNA (6127 nucleotides) under Lactuca sativa (garden lettuce). RNAcentral describes it as "long non-coding RNA (LSAT_LNC001771)". The record is from RNAcentral. Lineage: Eukaryota; Viridiplantae; Streptophyta; Magnoliopsida; Asterales; Asteraceae.
AACUUCAACACAACACAACUCCUCCAAUCUAAACCCGCUCCCAAAUAACUUUACAUUCAUACGGGGUGACGAGAAGCCCAAAGCUUCUAACACAUACGCCAGCCCGAAACCUUCUCGGAUGAAACUCAUUUCUCGCAAAAGGACCAGAAUUAACCUUCCUCUUAAAUCUCAGGGACUCAUAAUUACACACUUAAAGAACGGGGUGUUACAAUUCUUCCCCACUUAAAUUAGGCUUCGUCCUCGAAGCCUGCAACAACUCUAAUUCAGAACUUCCCCUGCAACGCACUACCUGGCACUAACCAAACCAGGUCCCUCAAGGUACAANCCGAAACCCAACUUUAUCUUUCUUGCUGGCGGGACGACACAACUUCAGCCCUAGAGCAGCUCGCACGAGUUCUCCACCGCAAUCUCAUAACCGCACCAAACUGGCUCUAGUUUCCUCGGGUUAGGAAAACCCCGAUACACUAAUGACACUUUCAAACAUCCUUCCGGAUGAAUUUUCACCACAAAAACAAAUCCAUCUGGAAUUCCGAGAUUCCAUCCAUGCAUUCCUGCCGAGCCUCAGCAACCAUUCAACCCGGAUGUGCUCCCAUACCACUGCCGCAAUCUCGCUGCUCAAUGACCAUAAUUGGACCACUCCCAUCAUAACCCUGCGCUGCUACUUCCACCUCCGUGGAUUCGCACUCCCUCUCGGAGUUACACUCCUCUCCCUUCCCUUACCAAGGAAAACCACUUGGCUGCCUUGACACUACCACAAGUGCCACGGCGCUCGCCCAAUGCUACACCACUCCUUCAUAGCGUAUCCGCUAUCCAUCCAACACACAUACUCUUACUCUAAACGCAGGGGCUCUCAAGCCCAUGCACUAUCUCAACUAAUCAAGAUCACUACCAGGGGCCAGACCUUCUUAUGCUAUCACAUUGCCACAUAUACAAUCCAUAUCCUCGAAUUGAUCCAACAAUACCUGCAGAGUCUUCAGCAUGACUGGACCGCCUCACUAGGCCUUCAGCAAAUCUGGACCACUCUCAGAACCUUCAGCCAAUCUGGACCGUUCUCAGCACCUUCAGUUUAGCUGGACCGUUCUCCGAGCCUUCGGCCUGACUGGUACGCCCACCGGCCCUCAGUCUAUCCGGACCGCUCAACUAGCAUUCCUCAUUCCGAGUUAUCUCUCUGGUAAAUCCUCCCAUGCACACCGUUCUAUCCCUCUAGGGGUUCCGAACUCUAUCUCCAUCAUACAUACUCGGUCCCGGCCCAAACCCAGGCCUUCCCCAAUCAAAUGCCAUAGGUCUGUAUCCCGCCCCGCAUGCCCGACACUUACUCAUACUAGCCUACACUCUGGGCUGACAGAACACUGCUGAAUCCCAAACAGCUAAGCAACCUCACAUGCUCAUCGAUCUUCCGGAGAAUUUUCCAAUUCUCCCCCACUUAGGGUACUGACUAUCAAUCAUCGGUCGCCAUCACCGACCUCCCAAAACAACUCUGCACAAAACCAACAUUUAUACGCGGGCUGAUUCCCACUAGCUCUUACAACCUUCACGAAAAUCACAUUUCCACACGGAUCAUCCUGCUCGAAAGAAACUCGAUCUGCAGCUAACCACUCCUUAGGAAGCAGAUGCUUUCCGUCAUUCAGACCAAAAGCCAAUUUCCACUAAUCAUCCUCAUAAAUAAUAACCAACGAAAUUUCCAUACAAUAACCCAUAACCAAACCACAACCCUCAAAAACAACGAAUACCGCACCAAAAACCACACAAAGAUACUAAUACAUAAACAGUACUCCACAAUAAUCACAAGAUAACAAGACAUCAAGAAGGAAACAUACCCGCAGCUGCAUCCGGCACUGCUCUGACCUCCUCUGCUGUAAGCUGAAAAGCAUGACCCUGAGCCCUUGGGGGCUCCGCUCCACCCUGACCUCCACCUGUAAUCCUCAAAGUGGCUGGUGCUGGAGCCUGCACCGGUCCUGCAGCAAGCUGUGGAUAGUUGACCCUCAAAUGUCCAACCUGAUGACAAUGAUAACAAAUCCUAAAAUCCCGAACCGGCGCUAACUGCCGACAAUCCCUCGCAUAGUGCCCCUCCUUUCCGCAUUUGCGACAUGCACCACCUGACCUACAAACUCCGGUGUGACCCCUCCCACACUUCCUGCAAGCGUGGCUGCUCUGAUCUCCCAGCCUAGAAUCAACGGUCUUGGACCGUUUCGGCGCCGGCGACGACUGCACCGGAGUCUGCCUCAGCUCACGCAACUGUAACUCAAUCUCUAACUCACGCUGCCUGGCGGCCUUCUGCAACUCCAACAAGGUCUCGCACCUCUGCGUAGACACAAACUGUCUGAUAUCCCUCUUGAGCAUGCUCAGAUAUCGAGACAUUUGCGCCUGCUCCGAAGCGAACUCAGGGCAGAACAUUGCCCUCUCAGUAAACAUCCUGGUGAUCUCAGUCACCGACUCCGAACCCUGCUUCAGCUCCAGGAACUCCUGAGCCAAUCUCUCCCUCUCAACCCGCGGAACAUAACGAGUGCUGAACAUCUCUCUGAACUGAUCCCAUGAAACCGCAGCCCUCUGCGCAUCCGAAUAUGACCCCGUGGUCAAUCUCCACCAAUCCUUCGCCCCGAGCCUCAACAGGUUCAGAGCACACCUCACCCUCUGAUCAGCAGGGCAUGAACACGUGAAGAAACACCCCUCCACGUCCGAUAACCACCUCAUAGCAACAAUCGGGUCCUGAACUCCAUCAAAGGUGGGAGGCUUCGUAUUAUCGAAGUCCCGAUACUGAAAGCCCCGACCAGCUCCUCCCCCUGCCGCUGCUACAGCCGCUGUAGCCGCCGCGGCAGCCGUCUCUGUGAGAGCUGCAUAGCGCUCAUCAAAAUACUCAACCAUGGCGGUCUUGAUCGACCCGAACAGUUCCGGCAACUCAGCCCGAAACAACGUAGCAAUCUCAUGUCGCAGGAUCUUACGAAUCCUCGCAUCCAACUCGCACGUGCUCAUCUGACCAAUAACCUCGGGCGGCACAGACCCGCCCGGAACUCCCUCUCCUGCUCCCGAUCCUGAACCGGAUCCACUCCCAGCAUGCCUCGGAAUCUCCAUACUGAAAAACAACUACAAAAUCUCAGACACUUCCCACUAUCCCGGGAACCAACUCUCUCAACCCAACCCUAGAGGUCAUGGUUUCCCUGAUACACGUAUGCGUCCUGUGCUUUCGGUAGUACGGGCCCAUACUACCUUCCACACCUAUCCAUAUUUGUAUGAAGUACUACCACAACACCCUAGAGAAAACAUGCAUAAUAACUCUCAACCCUCACCACUAGAGGAACUCUGAAAAUCUCCCACAAGGAAACCCUAGGCUACAGGCAUCACAAAUCAGGCAACAUUAUCAUGAAAUCCUGAAGAUCCCUAGCCUAACACUAGCAUGCUGUUCUAUCAAAGCUCAAAAACAAAUAACAUGCAUGGUAUUUUGGGGUUACUUACUGGCUCCGGCUGAUCGUACCUCCGCGUCCUCCUUUACUCAUUUUGAAAACCAUUUUAAAUACUCUUUUGAAAACUCUCCUCGAUUUGAGACUGGAGUCACACGAAUGUUCCUCCAAUUCACUCAAACCAAGGCUCUGAUACCAUUUUGUAACGACCGAAAAAUUCCAACCAAUUUAAACUUUUCAAAAACAACCCGAUUUCAUUAAAUUAUUACAAAAAGGUUUUCAAUACAAUUUAUUUAGAGUAUUCCCAGAAUCACAUCACAACAUAAACAUGAGGAGCGGUACGAUCACGCCUUCGCCUUGCCACGGUCUCCUGAAGAACCUGAAAAACAUAAAACCACAACUGUAAGCCCGAAAGCUUAGUGAGAUAUCCCCAAAAUACCAACCACAUAUACCAUACACGCAUAACAUGCCAUAACAUAUCCGAUCACAGAACAACCAUGCACUUCGGGUCUACUGUGUGACUGGUCCGCCGCACCGGCCAACAGUCCACCUGGUCCACCCUCCGAGUCUAGCCAUAUACAUCGAGUCUGCAGUGUGAUUGGUCCGCCCGCACCGGGCCUUCAAUCCACCUGGUCCACUCUCUGAGUCUACAGUAUGACUGGUCCGCCCGCACCGGGCCUUCAGUCGGCCUGGUCCACUCUCUGAGCCUCGGCACGUCUGGUCCGCCCUCUCGGGGCCUGCAGCCUAUCCGGACCGCUCGCUGGGCCUUCGGAACAACCGUUCCGCCCUGGGUAUCUUGGCCUACAGCACAAAGCAGGACCCGCCUCAACCCAUCUCCAGUCCAAACAACCAUGUGCACAUAAACAUACAAUCAUAUAACAGUUCACAGUCAACAAACCGAUCAGACAGAUCACAUAGCAUAUCAUCAUCCUAACCAGGAUACCGACCUAACCGGUCACUAGCAUAACAUCACCCUACCUCUCAGGAUACCGAUCUCAAUCGAGUCUCUAACAUAUACCAUCCUAGCUACCAGGAUGCAAACAUAUCAAAGCCAUAACAUAGCAACAAAUACCCGGAUCUCAAUCCGAUAAGGGCCGGCCUUGGUGCCUUAGACCCUGUUGAUAUAAUGAGGAUAACUCACCUCGCGAAUGCCGAUACUCUGGACUGAAGAAACAGACUCUCGAAUCACCAACUCACCGUAAAUCCCGAACUAACCAUCAUAACAAAAUAAACAUUAGGCCAAUCAUACAUCCACUUAUUGGGCCAAGGCCAAAGUCCAAAUCUUAUACAAAGUCCAACAUUGGCCCAAUUUACCAAAUUGGGCCCACCUCACCAAGUGGGCCUAGAUCUAAUGUCCAUAACAAUAAUUGGCCCAAAAUACUCUAUCCAUAAAUUCCCAGACUUGGCCCAAUAACCAACUGUCCACCAACGGCCCAAACUCAAAGCCCAAAAAUGAAAGUCCAACAGGAGGAGUACGCUGGGCGUACCCUCCCUGGUACGCUGGGCGUACAACAAUGAAUACGCGAAUGAGGAUCGGGGCAUUGGCCCGCUACGCGGGGCGUACUCUAAGGCUACGCGGGGCGUAACCCUGAUGCUCAACAAAUCCACAUAAUGACUUAAUGGUUUAAGCUCUUAAGCCCAAACUUCAGAUCCUUAAGCCAAAAAUGAUUAGAACUCAUAAAGUCUCAGACUUUAUCACUUGGGACGUCCUUAAGCACUUAAUCCAAGGUCUUAAUCCAUUAAGAUCUAUAUAUCUCACACAUGGAACAACUACAGCUCUUGGGACCUCAUUUUUCUCACUCAAGACCUUCCUAAAGGUCUGAAAGGACAGAUAAUCUUGACCAAAUCGAAAUAUGCAACAAGGUGAGGACUUUUGGGAAAAGAAUGGGGACAAAGCUUCAAAAUACAUAGAUCUAUACAAUAUGAAGGUCAAGCAAGAAGCUUUAUACCUCAAAUAAGCUCCAAAGGAUGGUAUCUCUUCAGAUCUACAAGCUCCAAUCGUUCCUCUUCUUCCUUGACAACUUCUCUUUUCUCCUUCAAGCCUUUCUUUUGGCAAAAUAAGCUUUCCAAGGUCAAACACACCCAAAUAAUGGAGGGAAUACGAGAUCUAGGGUUUUCUGAGGUUAAGGAUGAGCAUAAGGAGGCUAAGGGGUGAACCAACAUGUUCCUUAUAUAGUGGCUGAUCCUAAAUUAGGGUUUGGAGUUUUUGAGAGUACGCUGGGCGUACCUCUAGUACGCUGGCCGUACUCACCCGGCCAUCCCGCAUACAUCACACCAUUACGCUGGGCGUACGUGCAGCUUACGCUGGGCGUACCUAGCCAGACUUCAAAACACAUGCAUGCCAUGCAUGCAUGGGACCCUUUUUCCACUUAUACCACAACGAGCUAUAAACAAUGAUCAACUUCAAAACACCACAACUCCUCCAAUCUAAACCCGCUCCCAAAUAACUUUACAUUCAUACGGGGUGACGAGAAGCCCAAAGCUUCUAACACAUAUGCCAUCCCGAAACCUUCUCGGAUGAAACUCAUUUCUCGCAAAAGGACUAGAAUUAACCUUCCUCUUAAAUCUCAGGGACUCAUAAUUACACACUUAAAGAACGGGGUGUUACAAUUAAGUUGGACACCCUUGCGUUUGAAUCCUAAAUUCGACACUGGUAGAACCCCUUGCGAUGAUCCCAAUGAGCGGGGUCGAGAGGCAAAAUCCCAAAACCUUAACGAAUUAUUGGACUACAG